AUGCCACGAUUGCGUCCAGACAACUUGCAUGUUGCCUGCUGGUGCCCUGGGUGUCAAUGCCAAUCUCGACCUGGAGGGAAACUCUCUGAUGAGAUGGAAGGUGACCUGAUUGGUGGGUCCCAUCGGGCCCCAUUGCUCAGUGGGGAAAGGAAAAGAGAAAAAUAUCUUUUGUUGCGAAACAGAGAAAAAAAAAGAAAUAGGUGGGGGAGACCGACUAGACCCGGUUCAGCCCAGUUUGGUUUGGGUUGCCUCCUCCUCUCUCCUAUUUCUUGUAUUCCUUUCAUUCCUUGGAUUUUAAAGGGCUAG
Molecule: ribosomal RNA, 306 nt
Filed under: Triticum aestivum (bread wheat)
Lineage: Eukaryota; Viridiplantae; Streptophyta; Magnoliopsida; Poales; Poaceae
Description: partial small subunit ribosomal RNA
Source: RNAcentral